Molecule: long non-coding RNA, 1632 nt
Filed under: Homo sapiens (human)
Lineage: Eukaryota; Metazoa; Chordata; Mammalia; Primates; Hominidae
Description: non-protein coding lnc-CBR3-2:2
Source: RNAcentral
CCGGCUGCCAUCUCCUCCUCCUGGGCCGCCGCCUCCUCCUCUUCCUCCUCCUCCUGGGCCGGGCUGAUCCCCUCCCCGCUGCCGCCUCCUCCUGGGCUGGGCCCGCGGUGUCUCGUCCCCUCGCGGAGCCGCUCCUGCCGCCGCCGCCGCCGCCUCCUCAUUCAUCCUCGUGCACCAUAGGCGGCACAGGCACCAAGAUGUCCAACCGAGUGGUCUGCCGAGAAGCCAGUCACGCCGGGAGCUGGUACACAGCCUCAGGACCGCAGCUGAAUGCACAGCUAGAAGGUUGGCUUUCACAAGUACAGUCUACAAAAAGACCUGCUAGAGCCAUUAUUGCCCCCCAUGCAGGAUAUACGUACUGUGGGUCUUGUGCUGCCCAUGCUUAUAAACAAGUGGAUCCGUCUAUUACCCGGAGAAUUUUCAUCCUUGGGCCUUCUCAUCAUGUGCCCCUCUCUCGAUGUGCACUUUCCAGUGUGGAUAUAUAUAGGACACCCCUGUAUGACCUUCGUAUUGACCAAAAGAUUUACGGAGAACUAUGGAAGACAGGAAUGUUUGAACGCAUGUCUCUGCAGACAGAUGAAGAUGAACGCAGUAUUGAAAUGCAUUUGCCUUAUACAGCUAAAGCCAUGGAAAGCCAUAAGGAUGAGUUUACCAUUAUUCCUUUACUGGUUGGAGCUCUGAGUCAAAAGAACAGGAAUUCGGAACUUUUCAGUAAAUAUCUAGCGGAUCCUAGUAAUCUCUUUGUGGUUUCUUCUGAUUUCUGCCAUUGGGGUCAAAGGUUCCGUCACAGUUACUAUGAUGAAUCCCAGGGGGAGAUUUGUAGAUCCAUUGAACAUCUAGAUAAAAUGGGUAUGAGUAUUAUAGAACAAUUAGACCCUGUAUCUUUUAGCAAUUACUUGAAGAAAUACCAUAAUACUAUAUGUGGAAGACAUCCCAUUGGGGUGUUAUUAAAUGCUAUCACAGAGCUCCAGAAGAAUGGAAUGAAUAUGAGUUUUUCGUUUUUGAAUUAUGCCCAGUCGAGCCAGUGUAGAAACUGGCAAGACAGUUCAGUGAGUUAUGCAGCUGGAGCACUCACGGUCCACUGAAGCUCUGAAUCCUCAGGGAUGCCACCUGCACAUUCUCAUACUCUGUCCGGGCUCCCAGCCUAGCCUUUACCACGAUACUGGUCCUGGUUUGGGGGGAUUCUGAAACCUCAAACUAAUAGAACUUUCUUCUCUUUUUUUCUAGUAGGUGUAGUCCUUCCUUAAUUUCAACUCAUUAAAAAAUGCUUUAUAGUUUAGGGCAGUGGAAGGAAGGCUGGCAUCAAAAUAUUUUGAUCAAAAAAGAUGACAAUGUAAAGGCUCAGUUAUGGCAGACAGUUUUUUGAAAGUAACUUGUAAAGCAUUUACCAUAUCCUAAAUUUGCACUCUUUGCAGACUUGUGCACAUAUAUUCCGCUUUCAGAAUAGUUUUGCAAAUUGUACACAAACAAACAAAAAGGUGGAAGCUUUUUAAUAAAGAAAUUGCAUUUAUAAAUGAUCUGUAUUAGAAUAUAAUAAAUCUCCAGUUAUAGUCAAUUACUACCCAUGUUGUACAACAGAUACCUUCUAUUUUAGUUGCUAAUAAAGGGCUACACAACUCAAAAUAAAUAAAU